GGGGGUAUAGCUCAGUGGUAGAGUAUUCGACUGCAAAUCCAGAGGUCCCCGGUUCAAACCCGGGUGCCCCCU
Molecule: transfer RNA, 72 nt
Filed under: Dermacentor andersoni
Lineage: Eukaryota; Metazoa; Arthropoda; Arachnida; Ixodida; Ixodidae
Description: transfer RNA cysteine (anticodon GCA)
Rfam family: tRNA
About the family: Transfer RNA (tRNA) molecules are approximately 80 nucleotides in length.
Source: RNAcentral